RNAcentral lists this ribosomal RNA (472 nucleotides) under uncultured bacterium. RNAcentral's name for it is "bacterial SSU rRNA". It matches the Rfam family "Bacterial small subunit ribosomal RNA", at positions 30 to 507 of the family's 1533-position model. The record is from RNAcentral.
AUUGAACGCUGGCGGCAGGCCUAACACAUGCAAGUCGAGCGGGGUUUUCGGACCUAGCGGCGGACGGGUGAGUAAUGCGUAGGAAGCUGCCCGAUAGAGGGGGAUACCAGUUGGAAACGACUGUUAAUACCGCAUAAUGUCUACGGACCAAAGUGUGGGACCUUCGGGCCACAUGCUAUCGGAUGCGCCUACGUGGGAUUAGCUAGUUGGUGAGGUAAUGGCUCACCAAGGCGACGAUCUCUAGCUGGUUUGAGAGGAUGAUCAGCCACACUGGAACUGAGACACGGUCCAGACUCCUACGGGAGGCAGCAGUGGGGAAUAUUGGACAAUGGGCGCAAGCCUGAUCCAGCCAUGCCGCGUGUGUGAAGAAGGCCUUCGGGUUGUAAAGCACUUUCAGCGAGGAGGAAGGGAUGUAUGUUAAUAGCAUGCAUUUUUGACGUUACUCGCAGAAGAAGCACCGGCUAACUCUGUG